GGGUUGUGAGGUUAAGCGACUAAGCGUACACGGUGGAUGCCCUGGCAGUCAGAGGCGAUGAAGGACGUGCUAAUCUGCGAUAAGCGUCGGUAAGGUGAUAUGAACCGUUAUAACCGGCGAUUUCCGAAUGGGGAAACCCAGUGUGUUUCGACACACUAUCAUUAACUGAAUCCAUAGGUUAAUGAGGCGAACCGGGGGAACUGAAACAUCUAAGUACCCCGAGGAAAAGAAAUCAACCGAGAUUCCCCCAGUAGCGGCGAGCGAACGGGGAGCAGCCCAGAGCCUGAAUCAGUGUGUGUGUUAGUGGAAGCGUCUGGAAAGGCGCGCGAUACAGGGUGACAGCCCCGUACACAAAAAUGCACAUGCUGUGAGCUCGAUGAGUAGGGCGGGACACGUGGUAUCCUGCCUGAAUAUGGGGGGACCAUCCUCCAAGGCUAAAUACUCCUGACUGACCGAUAGUGAACCAGUACCGUGAGGGAAAGGCGAAAAGAACCCCGGCGAGGGGAGUGAAAAAGAACCUGAAACCGUGUACGUACAAGCAGUGGGAGCACGCUUAGGCGUGUGACUGCGUACCUUUUGUAUAAUGGGUCAGCGACUUAUAUUCUGUAGCAAGGUUAACCGAAUAGGGGAGCCGAAGGGAAACCGAGUCUUAACUGGGCGUUAAGUUGCAGGGUAUAGACCCCAAACCCGGUGAUCUAGCCAUGGGCAGGUUGAAGGUUGGGUAAUACUAACUGGAGGACCGUACCGAUUAAUGUAGAAAAAGUAGCGGAUGACUUGUGGCUGGGUGUGAAAGGCCAAUCAAACCGGGAGAUAGCUGGUUCUCCCCGAAAGCUAUUUAGGUAGCGCCUCGUGAAUUCAUCUCCGGGGGUAGAGCACUGUUUCGGCAAGGGGGUCAUCCCGACUUACCAACCCGAUGCAAACUGCGAAUACCGGAGAAUGUUAUCACGGGAGACACACGGCGGGUGCUAACGUCCGUCGUGAAGAGGGAAACAACCCAGACCGCCAGCUAAGGUCCCAAAGUCAUGGUUAAGUGGGAAACGAUGUGGGAAGGCCCAGACAGCCAGGAUGUUGGCUUAGAAGCAGCCAUCAUUUAAAGAAAGCGUAAUAGCUCACUGGUCGAGUCGGCCUGCGCGGAAGAUGUAACGGGGCUAAACCAUGCACCGAAGCUGCGGCAGCGACACUAUGUGUUGUUGGGUAGGGGAGCGUUCUGUAAGCCUGUGAAGGUGUGCUGUGAGGCAUGCUGGAGGUAUCAGAAGUGCGAAUGCUGACAUAAGUAACGAUAAAGCGGGUGAAAAGCCCGCUCGCCGGAAGACCAAGGGUUCCUGUCCAACGUUAAUCGGGGCAGGGUGAGUCGACCCCUAAGGCGAGGCCGAAAGGCGUAGUCGAUGGGAAACAGGUUAAUAUUCCUGUACUUGGUGUUACUGCGAAGGGGGGACGGAGAAGGCUAUGUUGGCCGGGCGACGGUUGUCCCGGUUUAAGCGUGUAGGCUGGUUUUCCAGGCAAAUCCGGAAAAUCAAGGCUGAGGCGUGAUGACGAGGCACUACGGUGCUGAAGCAACAAAUGCCCUGCUUCCAGGAAAAGCCUCUAAGCAUCAGGUAACAUCAAAUCGUACCCCAAACCGACACAGGUGGUCAGGUAGAGAAUACCAAGGCGCUUGAGAGAACUCGGGUGAAGGAACUAGGCAAAAUGGUGCCGUAACUUCGGGAGAAGGCACGCUGAUAUGUAGGUGAAGUCCCUCGCGGAUGGAGCUGAAAUCAGUCGAAGAUACCAGCUGGCUGCAACUGUUUAUUAAAAACACAGCACUGUGCAAACACGAAAGUGGACGUAUACGGUGUGACGCCUGCCCGGUGCCGGAAGGUUAAUUGAUGGGGUUAGCCGCAAGGCGAAGCUCUUGAUCGAAGCCCCGGUAAACGGCGGCCGUAACUAUAACGGUCCUAAGGUAGCGAAAUUCCUUGUCGGGUAAGUUCCGACCUGCACGAAUGGCGUAAUGAUGGCCAGGCUGUCUCCACCCGAGACUCAGUGAAAUUGAACUCGCUGUGAAGAUGCAGUGUACCCGCGGCAAGACGGAAAGACCCCGUGAACCUUUACUAUAGCUUGACACUGAACAUUGAGCCUUGAUGUGUAGGAUAGGUGGGAGGCUUAGAAGUGUGGACGCCAGUCUGCAUGGAGCCGACCUUGAAAUACCACCCUUUAAUGUUUGAUGUUCUAACGUUGACCCGUAAUCCGGGUUGCGGACAGUGUCUGGUGGGUAGUUUGACUGGGGCGGUCUCCUCCUAAAGAGUAACGGAGGAGCACGAAGGUUGGCUAAUCCUGGUCGGACAUCAGGAGGUUAGUGCAAUGGCAUAAGCCAGCUUGACUGCGAGCGUGACGGCGCGAGCAGGUGCGAAAGCAGGUCAUAGUGAUCCGGUGGUUCUGAAUGGAAGGGCCAUCGCUCAACGGAUAAAAGGUACUCCGGGGAUAACAGGCUGAUACCGCCCAAGAGUUCAUAUCGACGGCGGUGUUUGGCACCUCGAUGUCGGCUCAUCACAUCCUGGGGCUGAAGUAGGUCCCAAGGGUAUGGCUGUUCGCCAUUUAAAGUGGUACGCGAGCUGGGUUUAGAACGUCGUGAGACAGUUCGGUCCCUAUCUGCCGUGGGCGCUGGAGAACUGAGGGGGGCUGCUCCUAGUACGAGAGGACCGGAGUGGACGCAUCACUGGUGUUCGGGUUGUCAUGCCAAUGGCACUGCCCGGUAGCUAAAUGCGGAAGAGAUAAGUGCUGAAAGCAUCUAAGCACGAAACUUGCCCCGAGAUGAGUUCUCCCUGACCCUUUAAGGGUCCUGAAGGAACGUUGAAGACGACGACGUUGAUAGGCCGGGUGUGUAAGCGCAGCGAUGCGUUGAGCUAACCGGUACUAAUGAACCGUGAGGCUUAACCUUACAACGCCGAAGCUGUU
RNAcentral lists this ribosomal RNA (2931 nucleotides) under Escherichia coli. RNAcentral describes it as "bacterial LSU rRNA". It matches the Rfam family "Bacterial large subunit ribosomal RNA". Lineage: Bacteria; Pseudomonadati; Pseudomonadota; Gammaproteobacteria; Enterobacterales; Enterobacteriaceae. The record is from RNAcentral.